ACGGGAGGCAGCAGUGGGGAAUAUUGGACAAUGGGGGAAACCCUGAUCCAGCGACGCCGCGUGAGUGAAGAAGUAUUUCGGUAUGUAAAGCUCUAUCAGCAAGGAAGAAAAUGACGGUACUUGACUAAGAAGCCCCGGCUAACUACGUGCCAGCAGCCGCGGUAAUACGUAGGGGGCAAGCGUUAUCCGGAUUUACUGGGUGUAAAGGGAGCGUAGACGGCAUAGCAAGUCUGAAGUGAAAUGCAUGGGCUCAACCCAUGAACUGCUUUGGAAACUGUUAAGCUAGAGUGCAGGAGAGGUAAGUGGAAUUCCUAGUGUAGCGGUGAAAUGCGUAGAUAUUAGGAGGAACACCAGUGGCGAAGGCGGCUUACUGGACUGUAACUGACGUUGAGGCUCGAAAGCGUGGGGAGCAGACAGGAUUAGAUACCCUGGUA
RNAcentral lists this ribosomal RNA (434 nucleotides) under uncultured Lachnospiraceae bacterium. Its description in RNAcentral is "bacterial SSU rRNA". It matches the Rfam family "Bacterial small subunit ribosomal RNA", at positions 341 to 792 of the family's 1533-position model. Lineage: Bacteria; Bacillati; Bacillota; Clostridia; Lachnospirales; Lachnospiraceae. The record is from RNAcentral.